RNAcentral lists this ribosomal RNA (399 nucleotides) under uncultured bacterium. Its description in RNAcentral is "bacterial SSU rRNA". It matches the Rfam family "Bacterial small subunit ribosomal RNA", at positions 28 to 418 of the family's 1533-position model. The record is from RNAcentral.
GAUGAACGCUGGCGGCGUGCUUAACACAUGCAAGUCGAACGGACUUUACAUGAAGCCUAGCGAUUGUAAAGUUAGUGGCGGACGGGUGAGUAACGCGUGAAUAACCUGCCUUAUACUGGGGGACAACAGUUGGAAACGACUGCUAAUACCGCAUAAGCGCACUAAAGCUGCAUGGCUCAGUGUGAAAAACUCCGGUGGUAUAAGAUGGAUUCGCGUCUGAUUAGCUGGUUGGUGGGGUAACGGCGUCACCAAGGCGACGAUCAGUAGCCGGCCUGAGAGGGUGAACGGCCACAUUGGGACUGAGACACGGCCCAAACUCCUACGGGAGGCAGCAGUGGGGAAUAUUGCACAAUGGGGGAAACCCUGAUGCAGCAACGCCGCGUGAGUGAUGACGGCCUC